AGCAUCUAUACAGUGAAACUGCGAAUGGCUCAUUAAAUCAGUUAUCGUUUAUUUGAUAGUACCUUACUACUUGGAUAACCGUGGUAAUUCUAGAGCUAAUACAUGCUAAAAACCUCGACUUCGGAAGGGGUGUAUUUAUUAGAUAAAAAACCAAUGCCCUUCGGGGCUCCUUGGUGAUUCAUGAUAACUUAACGAAUCGCAUGGCCUUGUGCCGGCGAUGGUUCAUUCAAAUUUCUGCCCUAUCAACUUUCGAUGGUAGGAUAGUGGCCUACCAUGGUUUCAACGGGUAACGGGGAAUUAGGGUUCUAUUCCGGAGAGGGAGCCUGAGAAACGGCUACCACAUCCAAGGAAGGCAGCAGGCGCGCAAAUUACCCAAUCCCGACACGGGGAGGUAGUGACAAUAAAUACUGAUACAGGGCUCUUUUGGGUCUUGUAAUUGGAAUGAGUACAAUUUAAAUCCCUUAACGAGGAACAAUUGGAGGGCAAGUCUGGUGCCAGCAGCCGCGGUAAUUCCAGCUCCAAUAGCGUAUAUUAAAGUUGUUGCAGUUAAAAAGCUCGUAGUUGAACCUUGGGCCUGGCUGGCCGGUCCGCCUCACCGCGUGCACUGGUCCGGCCGGGCCUUUCCUCCUGGGGAGCCGCAUGCCCUUCACUGGGUGUGUCGGGGAACCAGGACUUUUACUUUGAAAAAAUUAGAGUGUUCAAAGCAGGCCUAUGCUCGAAUACAUUAGCAUGGAAUAAUAGAAUAGGACGUGUGGUUCUAUUUUGUUGGUUUCUAGGACCGCCGUAAUGAUUAAUAGGGAUAGUCGGGGGCAUCAGUAUUCAAUUGUCAGAGGUGAAAUUCUUGGAUUUAUUGAAGACUAACUACUGCGAAAGCAUUUGCCAAGGAUGUUUUCAUUAAUCAGUGAACGAAAGUUAGGGGAUCGAAGACGAUCAGAUACCGUCGUAGUCUUAACCAUAAACUAUGCCGACUAGGGAUCGGGCGAUGUUAUCUUUUUGACUCGCUCGGCACCUUACGAGAAAUCAAAGUU
RNAcentral lists this ribosomal RNA (1028 nucleotides) under Pseudeurotium sp. RNAcentral describes it as "SSU rRNA". It matches the Rfam family "Eukaryotic small subunit ribosomal RNA", at positions 68 to 1105 of the family's 1831-position model. Lineage: Eukaryota; Fungi; Ascomycota; Leotiomycetes; Thelebolales; Pseudeurotiaceae. The record is from RNAcentral.